UCCCUGGUAGUCUAGUCGUCAGGAUUUGGUGCUUUUGCCGCCAUGGCCUGGGUUCAAUUCCCAGUCAGGGAA
Molecule: transfer RNA, 72 nt
Organism: Scleropages formosus (Asian bonytongue)
Lineage: Eukaryota; Metazoa; Chordata; Actinopteri; Osteoglossiformes; Osteoglossidae
Rfam family: tRNA
About the family: Transfer RNA (tRNA) molecules are approximately 80 nucleotides in length. Their secondary structure includes four short double-helical elements and three loops (D, anti-codon, and T loops). Further hydrogen bonds mediate the characteristic L-shaped molecular structure. tRNAs have two regions of fundamental functional importance: the anti-codon, which is responsible for specific mRNA codon recognition, and the 3' end, to which the tRNAs corresponding amino acid is attached (by aminoacyl-tRNA synthetases). tRNAs cope with the degeneracy of the genetic code in two manners: having more than one tRNA (with a specific anti-codon) for a particular amino acid; and 'wobble' base-pairing, i.e. permitting non-standard base-pairing at the 3rd anti-codon position.
Source: Rfam